Molecule: ribosomal RNA, 510 nt
Filed under: uncultured bacterium
Lineage: Bacteria
Description: bacterial SSU rRNA
Rfam family: Bacterial small subunit ribosomal RNA
Source: RNAcentral
AGUAGGGAAUUUUGGGCAAUGGGGGAAACCCUGACCCAGCAACGCCGCGUGAGUGAAGAAGGCCUUCGGGUCGUAAAGCUCUGUCAGGUGUUACGAAUAAAGGCCGGUUAACCCCGGUCCUUGACCAGCGCCAAAGGAAGCACCGGCUAACUCCGUGCCAGCAGCCGCGGUAAUACGGAGGGUGCAAGCGUUGUCCGGAAUCAUUGGGCGUAAAGAGCGUGUAGGCGGUCCUGCAAGUCUGGUGUGAAAGCCCCCGGCUCAACCGGGGAAGUGCAUUGGAAACUGCGGGACUUGAGUGCGGGAGAGGGAGGUGGAAUUCCCAGUGUAGCGGUGAAAUGCGUAGAUAUUGGGAGGAACACCGGUUGCGAAGGCGGCCUCCUGGACCGUCACUGACGCUGAGACGCGAAAGCGUGGGUAGCAAACAGGAUUAGAUACCCUGGUAGUCCACGCUGUAAACGGUGAGCGCUAGGUGUUGGAGGUAUCGACCCCUUCAGUGCCGAAGCUAACGCA